UCUCUCUUUUCCAUGUUCUGACCAAAGAGCCAUGGUUUAUCUUGGCCGCCCGCCGCCCAUGGCACCCGCCCGCUCCGGCAAGCGCUCGAGGAUUAGUUCCGCCUCUCGCCACACGCUGCAAGCUCGAGCCCUAGCCAGCCGCCCUGCAAGCUCGAGCAGGGUGACGACCCCUCAUCUGUCGUCCUGGCCUGCUCCCCAACCUCUUCAUCGGGCUUAGGGGAGAUGCCGAGUCUAGAGCGGCAGGAUUUGGGCGUCGAGGGCGUCCAGAGUUGGCGGUGGUGCUGGAGGACUACCUUCAGUGGCUACCAGCCUUUGCUGCCACCAGCCGUCGACCCGGCAGCAAACUGUGCUCGCCUUUGCUGCUACAAUCUGUCACCGGCGCUGCUAACAAAGGACACCAGCGCUGCUACAAUAUGCCGCUGGCGAUGCUACAAUCUGUCGUCGGUGUAGCUUCAAUCCUUCCCCGUCGGUACUGCGAGCGGCCCGGCGCUGGUACAAUAUGCCGGUGGCGAUGCUACAAUCGGCCCCCGGCUUGCCGUCGACGCUGCUACCAAAGGACACCGGUGCUGCUACAAUAUGCCGCUGGCGGUGCUAUAAUCUGUUCUGUCGUCGGUGCUGCUACAAUCCGUGCACCGUUGGUGCUGCUUUCGUCAUCGUCGGCGCUGCUUCAAUCCUUCCCCGUCGGCGCUGCGAGCGGCCCGGCGUUUCUACUAUCCGCCCCAAGGCGCUUCCUGCGGCAGUUGCUACGAGCGGAGCCUGACGUUACUACUAGCAGUGGUUCCUUGCAGCCAUCGGCGCCCGACGUUUGCUACUAUGGACGCCAUGAGUUGUUGCGAGCUGCCUACCAGCGGGAGACCGGGAUGCUGCAAAGGUGCCGGCAGUCUUCUCCGGUGAUGGUUGGGCAACGCUCCCAUGGCGAACGGCGAUUGCUGCAAUGGCAGGCGAUGAAUGCUACUAUUGUGGACAGCGUCUGACCACGCGUGUCGUCUGCUAAGAUGGGGCUUGGACGGCGACCUCACCGGAGCUGGAUGGCGACCUCGCCGGAGCUGGAGUGCUGGAUGCGGGUCAUGGCCAAGCUGACCGCGCCUAUGGCGACGGGUUCAGGAUCGCCAUGCGCUUGAGAGAGUAAGCUGAUGCUUUGUCGGUUUCUGUUUUGGAGCUGCAGAACCUCUGGUGCGUUGCCUUUUUUCUUUCUGUUAAGCGCCGACUCCGAAUGAACGGGCUUAAUUAACCGCAUCUAACGGCUGGCGACCCAGGGAUUGGGGAUUUGAUCCCGGGGGGCGCUCAGCAUUGCCCUUUACCUAUUCUCUCCCCAUCUUCCCAACCCUAGCGCUGCGCCGCCACCAAUGCGCCGCCACCUCUUGUCCAUGUCGUCACCUUCGCUACCUGGCUCCCUGCCGCCUCUGGGUCCCCAACACUACUCAGCAGCUCCAGAUCCAAAUUUCUUCCCCUACCCGGCCGUCCUUCCCUCUGCAGUUGAAGCAUCCUUCGCUGCCACGGUGGUUCCCAAUUUAGUGCGGCGCAUCGGCCUCCACAGGACACCGCUGCUAGCGCUUCACCUGUAUCCAACCGUCUGCGUGACGUCGUAGACCUGAAGCACAUGUCUUCCAUCUCCGGUAUCUCCCUAAGAGCAUCUCCACUCGUCUCCCCACAGAGCCCCCACGGCCACUUUUUUUCAUCCGGACGGCGAAAAACGGCCCAGUCAGGCCCCUGGUUCCUCGUUUUGAUCCGGAUUUGAGCCUAUUUUCGUCCGGACUCCCCAUGCCAUCCCCGGCCCCCCGGGGAGCGCUCGGGGACUCCGGAUGAAGCUAAACCAACCGCCCACGCCCACGUGUCUCCUCUUUCGUCCGGAUUCCCCGAGCCGUCCUCUUUUUCCCCGAGAAACGCCGCUUGGGGAGCACACGACUGGAAAUAUACUGCCCCCCACGCCAAAUCUUCCUCCAAUCCGGACAAAAAUUUCGCCGGAUUUGGGCGUGGGGAGCGCCAACGAGUGGGGAUGCUCUAACCAAGGUAAGUUCCCCGAUCUGUACAUCCACAUCCACCUUUUUUUCUCCUUAUCUGGAGCAGUGAACGAUUGACAAGAAGUGUUGAUGAAAUUUUAAUAAUGGAGUAUCUGUAUGAGCCGUACGACUUUUCCACAUCUCUAGAUGCUCAUGUGUGUAAUCGUUAUAUGAUAAUUUUAAUACUGGAGUAUGUGUAUGAGCCGUACCACUUUUCCUCAUCUCUAGAUCUCCGUAUGUAUUCUUGAACUGGUGUUUAGCUAUUUAAAAUUUUCACGAUGAGCUGAUGUUUAUUCACCGGUUUGCAAAAAAAAAAACUAUUCAUUUCUGUGUACCCUUACGGCCUUACAGUAGAAGUAUCGACCUUUGUAGUACUAUUUCUUUUCUAGCACAAUAUUUUAUAUUUAUAAUAUUGUCUUUUGUAUGGUGGUCAAAUAAAGACACUCCAAGCUUCAAAAUCCUUCACUGUGUAUGUUUUUUAUGCUUAUGAUCUAGUAAUAACUCAAGUAUACUACCUUUUGACUGCACUAAAUCUCAGACUGGGCGCUAAUUAUAAUAAUGUUAAUUGCUUGACUGCUUUAUGGUCAGUUUUGCAGCAUGCUAGUGUUAGUAGCAUUGGCAAGUACUUGUUGUUUCAUUAGAGCUGUCACGGAUUUGUUAUCUAUGCACCCAACCAUAUGUUUCAAAAAUCAUUAUUCAUAUUAGUGUUCUUUUGAUCACUGCAGGUCAAGUAAAGGCAGUUUAUAAAUGGAAACUCAAAGAUGCAGAUUUGAGACAUUCACUGGAAUGGAUAUUCAGAAAUAUAAAUCAGAGAAGGAUCUGCCUCUUUAUGCCCUUCCGACUGGAGAACUCAAGAGCAUAAAUUGAGGAAGAAAUUGAUGGCGAAGAUGGCGAUGAAGGGGACGGAGAAGAUGACAAUGUUCAGAGAAGAAAAUUUGUUGCAAAUCCAAGAAACUCUUCAACCCAGCAAGAUGAAAGCCUUGUGUCCCAUUCUAAUAUGAAUUAUCAUGAUAAACUUUUCCCGCAAACCACCAAGUACCCGGACGUUUCCCAUCAAUAGAAUGAAUUGUGUAAUGGAGUAAACUUCGUCAUAUUGGUAGUCAUCUGCUUCCAUUUUGUAAACCUGGUUAUAUGGUAAUUAUUUGGCUUCCAUUUUGUAAGACCUGCUUAUAUGCGGUGACAACUUAUCUAUGUUUUGUUGACUACGUUGUAAUCAGUAGAGAACAUAUGAACAAUAAGUAUUGUAAGAAUUUAAUCUAUAUCAGAGUCAGGUGUGUGAUUCUUUUGUGA
This is a long non-coding RNA of Lolium perenne, 3290 nucleotides long. RefSeq lists it as uncharacterized. The record is from RefSeq and is a predicted model, not a curated record. Lineage: Eukaryota; Viridiplantae; Streptophyta; Magnoliopsida; Poales; Poaceae.